This 254-nucleotide ribosomal RNA is filed under the name uncultured bacterium. RNAcentral describes it as "partial 16S ribosomal RNA". It matches the Rfam family "Bacterial small subunit ribosomal RNA", at positions 524 to 776 of the family's 1533-position model. The record is from RNAcentral.
UACGGAGGGUGCAAGCAUUGAUCGGAAUUACUGGGCGUAAAGGGCGCGUAGGCGGCUUUGAAAGUCAGAUGUGAAAUUCCGGGGCUCAACCCCGGAGCUGCAUUUGAAACUUCAGAGCUUAGAGGAUGGUAAGGGAAAACGGAAUUCCACGUGUAGCGGUGAAAUGCGUAGAUAUGUGGAAGAACACCAGUGGUGAAGACGGUUUUCUGUGCCAAACCAGACGCUGAAGCGCGAAAGCUAGGGGAGCAAACAGG